CAGCAGCCGCGGGAAUACGUAGGGUGCGAGCGUUAAUCGGAAUUACUGGGCGUAAAGCGUGCGCAGGCGGUUCGUUAAGACAGAUGUGAAAUCCCCGGGCUUAACCUGGGAACUGCAUUUGUGACUGGCGAGCUAGAGUAUGGCAGAGGGGGGUAGAAUUCCACGUGUAGCAGUGAAAUGCGUAGAGAUGUGGAGGAAUACCGAUGGCGAAGGCAGCCCCCUGGGCCAAUACUGACGCUCAUGCACGAAAGCGUGGGGAACAAACAGGAUUAGAUACCCCUGUAGUCCCUGUCUCUUAUAC
RNAcentral lists this ribosomal RNA (301 nucleotides) under uncultured bacterium. Its description in RNAcentral is "partial 16S ribosomal RNA". It matches the Rfam family "Bacterial small subunit ribosomal RNA", at positions 509 to 807 of the family's 1533-position model. The record is from RNAcentral.